CUUUGAAAUUUUCAGCAAACAGUGAGCAGUUGUCCAUUAGAAUAAUAUUUGGGAUCCUCUUCUGGGGUCACCCCUCACUCCUUUUGUCACGUGGCAGGUGGUGAUUGGAGGAGCAGGAAAAAAAAGAAAAAAAAAAAAGAAAAUGUAACCAAUGAGAGAAAGAAGAGGUCAAAGAGGAUGAGUGGAAAAGGGGAUGAAUCAUUGUUGUGUCCAUUAUUCCAGGACACUAUAAAAACAGUGGAUGCGCUUAUACGUUGUGCUUGUCCAUUAUCCUUUGGAAUUUUCAGCAGCUGUCUUAAGGCAACUACUAUUUUUUCUCUUUGUCAUCUUCUUUUUCAUCAAACCCAGCUCUCUCUUUCUCUUUGUCCAUCAUCCCUCUCUUCUUGGCCACGUCAUUCUGAACCGAACGCAACUGUGUCGGAUUUCCUCCAUGUUUUCCUGGUAAAGUGAUUGCUCUGAUUCAUGGGGUUGAUUGACCUCUCCAUCUCCUUUGUGGCCUGCAAUACCAUUUAUCUUGGUGCUCCCAUAGUCAUUAUUCCGAUUUUGGGUGGUUUUCGAAGGUCCAACAUGAUUAUCAGCGUCUGAAUGCGGUCGAGAUGAUGUUGGUUUCGAGGUAUUUAUCUUCUAAAUUCGUUUCAGAAAUUUACAUAAAUUUGUGAAAUAUGGGUUUAUUUGUUCUUGACUGAAAUUUGAGUUGAUUUGUUCUAAAUUCAUUAUGAAAUUUGUGAUUUGUUCUUAACUAAAAUUUGUGAAAUUUAUGGAACUAGUUCUUGAAUGAUCA
Molecule: non-coding RNA, 781 nt
Organism: Camellia sinensis
Lineage: Eukaryota; Viridiplantae; Streptophyta; Magnoliopsida; Ericales; Theaceae
Source: RefSeq, a predicted model, not a curated record